Molecule: ribosomal RNA, 119 nt
Filed under: Triticum aestivum (bread wheat)
Lineage: Eukaryota; Viridiplantae; Streptophyta; Magnoliopsida; Poales; Poaceae
Source: RNAcentral
GGAUGCGAUCAUACAAGCACUAAAGCACCGGAUCCCAUCAGAACUCUGAAGUUAAGCGUGCUUGGGCGAGAGUAGUACUAGGAUGGGUGACCUCCAGGGAAGUCCUCGUGUUACAUUCC